UAAAAAUUGCAAAAAAUUUAAUAAAUAAAAAAAAAAUUCUAAAAACUAAAAGUCUAAAGUUGUAAUAGGCAUUCCAUCCGCAUGUUCCGAUUUGGUUUCGUCACAAAUUUUUCUCUUUUUCUCUAAUUUUUCUUGUUCUUCUCUGCAACUUUGUCAACCCUCAACUCCCUGCAACUUUCCAAAAAGAGUUUGGUUAGAGAAGCAUGAACAAUAUCGGUCUAAACAUAACAUACCCAUAUGUUUCUUUAGCUUCAGUUGGAGAAAAUGAGUUGAAUUUGUAUCAAGCUAUGUAGGGUCUUUCACUGUAAAAAUUUGCAAAGUUGUUCUGCAAACCAGCAUGACAAAUUAAAUUAUAAUUUAAAUGUAUCAAGCUGUUGUUUUAGUGUUUCAAAUUGAGCAUUUUCAUGCUAUCAUAAUUUUCUUUCUUGAAUUUAAACUGUGAGAGAUUCAAUAGGCUUCAUUCAUUAGAGCUGCUCAAGAGGGGCCUUCUUUCAUGCAGGUUCAUUUGAUUCCCUGCAGCUUUUGGUUACUUAAUCUUACCAUCUGUUUCUUUGGACAAUUAAAAGGGUUUAGAUGAAACCAAGAUAUCAAUUUGCUUCAUUACAUUUACAUCUUUGCUUAUAUUAGAUUCUUGGCUUUAUAAGUUAGUCUUUAAGGCUGAAUUCGUGAAUCGGUGGUCGAGUACAGACCACAUCCGAAGUUUCGGUUACAAAAUAUGGUGAAUCUAAGUUAAUUUACUGGCAAUUUAGCUGGCUAAUAAAAUCGAAAUGAUAUGCAGAUUUAUAUAUCAGACAAAAGGAACAAAAUACCAAACACAGAAUCCUGCAUAAAACAUAUAUGCCAACUAGUUGGAAAGCUAACCAUAUGAAUGUGUUUGAGCAUCACUCCUAUUUAGAUUAAUUGUUGUUUAAGAUCAGGCUAAGUUCAUUAAGGUCGAAACUAAGUGUGACUAGUGGUCAAGCCCAAGUUCAUUUCUAGUCAAAGUUGAUGUUGGAUUUUUAAAGGUCCAAAAGAUUCAAACUCCACAUGAGUUUAAGUCUUAGGCGCAACUGCGCAAGGAGGCCUUCACUACUCCCAUAUGAUUUUUGAAAAUGCUUAUAGUUUUGUCCUAUAGUUUAAAGCGAGAGACAUGGACGAAGAUGCUUUACUAUUAAGUUGUGGAAUUUUAGACUGAAAUGUAUUCAUUUAAUACCUUGUUCUGCAAUUUUGCUUUCUUUUAUCAUUUGGAGCUUUAAUAUUAGACUGAAAUGUAUUCAUUUAAUAUCUAUGUAAAGUUUGAAAUUUUAAGUAUGAAAUUGCUGAACUGAA
This is a long non-coding RNA of Gossypium raimondii (Peruvian cotton), 1308 nucleotides long. RefSeq lists it as uncharacterized. The record is from RefSeq and is a predicted model, not a curated record. The transcript is spliced from 2 exons. NCBI's taxonomy places the organism in Eukaryota, Viridiplantae, Streptophyta, Magnoliopsida, Malvales, Malvaceae.